Misgurnus anguillicaudatus (oriental weatherfish) is the source of this 821-nucleotide non-coding RNA. NCBI's taxonomy places the organism in Eukaryota, Metazoa, Chordata, Actinopteri, Cypriniformes, Cobitidae. The record is from RefSeq and is a predicted model, not a curated record.
GAUGUCAGAAAACUUCUCUAAGGUGCUAUGAAUCCUAUGACUAGAUACACAUCCUAAAAUUACUAGAGGUUACGGAAGCUCCUUUUUGGAUCCAGCUUCAUUUGUGAAGACUUCAGAUGAUGCCAACACUCACAGAGGCUUAAGACGAUGGCAGCAAUAGAUGGACAUACAAAAUUGCCAAAUAUAAUAUUGUAAUUACUGCCCCAAAGCGCAAGUUUGCCGAUUUUUAACCCACUUUAUAUUGUUACAAAUACAAUAGAUGCUAACAUUUGAACAGAAAAUGUUUCCUCUUUAUUCUUGAGUUAAUUGUGCUGAUUUAUUCCCAUUUUUUUAUCCACAAUUCUUUGCCAAAAUGAUGUUUUGCAUCAUCCAAAUGGUUCAUUUUCAAAUUACAGACAUUGUAACAACACAAAGUGGGUUGAAAUUCUGCCAACUUACCCUAUAAUAAUAAUUGUCUUUUAACUGAACAGGACUUUAAACACAUGACUUGUAUUAACUUAGAGCUAUUGUGAAAUUAAUAUUGUUUUGUUUCCAGAACAUUCUCCUCAGUGAGUCACUGUUACCUCAGACUGAUUAAGGGAUUUUUUGUAACCUUGAAACAUGCAUUGGUUUUAUUAUGGUAAAACUGCAUAUCUUAUUUCAAACCAAGGUUUUGUAACCAUGGUUCUACUACAGUAACAUUAUAGUAAUGCUGGAGUGAAACUGUGGUAACCAUAUUAUUUUAAAUCAUGGUAAAGUUUGUGGUUACUAAAAUGCACUUCUAUAUGCUGUUGUAAGAGCAUGAUUAUUUUUUAUUUAUUAAUAAACCAUGGUUGAUUUUA